UAGGGAAUAUUGCUUAAUGGGCGAAAGCCUGAAGCAGCAACGCCGCGUGUGCGAUGAAGGCCUUCGGGUUGUAAAGCACUUUUUGGAGGGAUGAGGAAGGACAGUACCUUCAGAAUAAGCCUCGGCUAACUACGUGCCAGCAGCCGCGGUAAAACGUAGGAGGCGAGCGUUAUCCGGAUUUAUUGGGUUUAAAGGGUGCGUAGGCGGAUUAAUAAGUCAGUGGUGAAAACCUUCAGCUUAACUGGAGACUUGCCAUUGAUACUGUUAGUCUUGAGUGUGGUUAAGGUAGGCGGAAUGUGUAAUGUAGCGGUGAAAUGCUUAGAUAUUACACAGAACACCGAUUGCGAAGGCAGCUUACUGAGCCAUAACUGACGCUGAUGCACGAAAGCGUGGGGAGCGAAC
RNAcentral lists this ribosomal RNA (402 nucleotides) under uncultured bacterium. RNAcentral describes it as "bacterial SSU rRNA". It matches the Rfam family "Bacterial small subunit ribosomal RNA", at positions 355 to 773 of the family's 1533-position model. The record is from RNAcentral.